GGAAUUUUCCGCAAUGGGCGAAAGCCUGACGGAGCAAUACCGCGUGAGGGAAGACUGCCUAUGGGUUGUAAACCUCUUUUUUCAGGGAGGAAUCAAUGACGUGUACCUGAAGAAUAAGCAUCGGCUAACUCCGUGCCAGCAGCCGCGGUAAGACGGAGGAUGCAAGUGUUAUCCGGAAUCACUGGGCGUAAAGCGUCUGUAGGUGGUUUAAUAAGUCAACUGUUAAAUCUUGAGGCUCAACUUCAAAAUCGCAGUCGAAACUAUUAGACUAGAGUAUAGUAGAGGUAAAGGGAAUUUCCAGUGGAGCGGUGAAAUGCGUAGAUAUUGGAAAGAACACCGAUGGCGAAAGCACUUUACUGGGCUAUUACUAACACUCAGAGACGAAAGCUAGGGUAGCAAAUGGGAUUAGAUACCCCAGUAGUC
RNAcentral lists this ribosomal RNA (423 nucleotides) under uncultured cyanobacterium. RNAcentral's name for it is "bacterial SSU rRNA". It matches the Rfam family "Bacterial small subunit ribosomal RNA", at positions 358 to 795 of the family's 1533-position model. Lineage: Bacteria; Bacillati; Cyanobacteriota. The record is from RNAcentral.